GUCCUGUUGAAAAACUACACUUAAGACUCUUCAAAUCUGAACUAAAAUCUUCCACACAGUCCAUAGAUUCAUAAAAACACAGCACUGAAUCAGCACCUCCAAGUCCGAGACCAUGGUCC
This is a long non-coding RNA of Melanotaenia boesemani (Boeseman's rainbowfish), 119 nucleotides long. RefSeq lists it as uncharacterized. Lineage: Eukaryota; Metazoa; Chordata; Actinopteri; Atheriniformes; Melanotaeniidae. The transcript is spliced from 3 exons. The record is from RefSeq and is a predicted model, not a curated record.